UACCCGGUAGGUAAGGCUACUACGGGGAUACGGGCUGUUGCCGCAAAGCGAUGGAGACAUCGCGCGCAGGUUUGAACAGGCCGCGUCGAAAAACAAGGCGCGGCAUAACACAGCUUCAUCGCCCCGCGAAGUCAAAGCUCAAACGGUA
Molecule: small RNA, 148 nt
Filed under: chicken gut metagenome
Description: M-box riboswitch (ykoK leader)
Rfam family: M-box riboswitch aptamer (ykoK leader)
About the family: M-box riboswitch, also know as ykoK leader is described as a metaloregulatory RNA that sense divalent metals and function as a genetic control element of genes related to divalent metal transport in bacteria. It was first reported upstream of the B.subtilis ykoK gene and genes with related functions in other bacteria. Phylogenetic analysis of the distribution of M-box RNAs across bacterial genomes revealed that M-box riboswitches are most often employed for the regulation of Mg2+ transporter genes
Source: RNAcentral